CGGAUCGGAGUCUGNAACCCGACUCCGUGAAGCUGGAUUCGCUAGUAAUCGCGCAUCAGCCAUGGCGCGGUGAAUACGUUCCCGGGCCUUGUACACACCGCCCGUCAAGCCAUGGGAGCCGGGGGUGCUUGAAGUGCGUCGCCGCAAGGCGCGCCCUAGAGCAAAACCGGUGACUGGGGCUAAGUCGUAACAAGGUACC
Molecule: ribosomal RNA, 199 nt
Filed under: uncultured bacterium
Lineage: Bacteria
Description: partial 16S ribosomal RNA
Rfam family: Bacterial small subunit ribosomal RNA
Source: RNAcentral